RNAcentral lists this transfer RNA (74 nucleotides) under Dehalococcoidales bacterium. RNAcentral describes it as "tRNA-Gln". It matches the Rfam family "tRNA". Rfam says of the family: Transfer RNA (tRNA) molecules are approximately 80 nucleotides in length. Their secondary structure includes four short double-helical elements and three loops (D, anti-codon, and T loops). Lineage: Bacteria; Bacillati; Chloroflexota; Dehalococcoidia; Dehalococcoidales. The record is from RNAcentral.
UGGGGAAUAGUCUAAUGGUAGGACAGCAGACUCUGGAUCUGUCAGUGAAGGUUCGAAUCCUUCUUCCCCAGCCA